GUCUUGUUGAUUAAUAAUUUCAAGUCUUACCUGCCCCCUGUUUAUAUAAAUGGCCGCAGUAUUUUGACUGUGCUAAGGUAGCAUAAUCAUUAGUUUUUUAAUUGAAAGCUAGAAUGAAUGGUAAUAUGAAAAAAUAACUGUCUCUUUUAUAUAAAUAAAAUUUUAUUUUUAAGUUAAAAAGCUUAAAUUGGAUUAAAAGACGAGAAGACCCUAUAGAAUUUAAUUUAAUUUAAUUUUUAAUUUAUUAGUAAUAAAAAUUUACUAAUUAAUUUAUAUUUAAUUGGGGUGAUUAGAAAAUUAAAAAAUCUUUUCUUUAUUAGACCAUUAAUUUAUGAUUUUAUGAUUCAUUAUUAUGAUUUAAGAAUAAAUUACCUUAGGGAUAACAGCGUAAUUUUUUUUGAGAGUUCAAAUUAAAAAAAAAGAUUGCGACCUCGAUGUUGGAUUAAAAU
This 449-nucleotide ribosomal RNA is filed under the name Donacia flemora. RNAcentral describes it as "partial 16S ribosomal RNA". The record is from RNAcentral. Lineage: Eukaryota; Metazoa; Arthropoda; Insecta; Coleoptera; Chrysomelidae.